AGUAGUUCUUCAUUGAGAGAUUACCUCUUGGGGAAGGAGUUAGAGCUGGAUUAUGUUACUAUAGUGACCCAGAACAUACGAAAGAAUCUGUGCACAAACAGAAAAAAGUGAACGCUUCCCAUAACCCAGAGCAACACUGUGCUUCUUUUCUCUAAGUGCCCCAGGCACAGAGGAGAGGAAAGAGGACUAGAUUCAGAGUUGGAAGUCUGCUUUCGGGCCUCAGCUUGAUGACCACAUUGGCCUCUCUGGACUCUCAGACCCAUCUUCUCAUCUUGGCAAAACCUAAGGACUCCACCUGAAUUCUCUCUUCCUGCCGUGGCCUAGAAACUCUCCUGGAAGAAACAAAACAAUCAUAGGCUUCACCUGCUUGGUUUCCCUCUCCAGGAUCAAUGUCACGAGCUGCCUAAUGUGCAUUGUCUAAAAACUUCUCCAUCAUAUAUUUUUUUCCUAUUGUUUAGCUGUUUCAUGUGGAAGGAUAAAUCCAGACCCUGUUACUUCAUCAAAGACAAAUAUUGAUGUCAUCAUGUCUAUCUACGCAGCCUUAUCUUUUACCAAUCUCCAACUUGCAAACUUUUUCUCCAGACCUAACAAACUACUCAUGAAUCUCCACAUAUUUCGUGCCCUUUCUCUGUGCCUUUUCAUACACUGCUUCCUCCACCAACCAAGCCCUUCUCUUCACCUCUAUAAACCGUCAUCCAAGAAGAUCAACCCAGCGGCUAUGUCCUCCCAGAAACCUUUCCUGUCCUUCCAAAAAAAUCAGGGUCCCUCCUGUGUGUACUCCAUUGCCUUGUGAUUGUUACUAUCAGAUCAGUACUGACCUGCUUCCCUCAGCAGAUUGUAGCUAUCUGAGAUCAGGACCUCUGUCAUAGCCUUCCUCACUCUCCCAAUAUCUAGUUAAUAAUAGGAAUUGACAACUCGAAUGAAUUAAUGAAUGCUAACACUUAACCCAUUUCUCUGCUAACUUUGGUAUAGAUGUGCCUAUAUUUCAAUGGAGUUUCCCUGAUACUAUAGCUUUUGAUAUUUUAAUCAUGAAUUAAGAAAGAUUUUAAUGAGAA
Molecule: non-coding RNA, 1055 nt
Organism: Equus caballus (horse)
Lineage: Eukaryota; Metazoa; Chordata; Mammalia; Perissodactyla; Equidae
Source: RefSeq, a predicted model, not a curated record